Molecule: small nuclear RNA, 107 nt
Organism: Schistocerca gregaria
Lineage: Eukaryota; Metazoa; Arthropoda; Insecta; Orthoptera; Acrididae
Source: RefSeq, a predicted model, not a curated record
GUACUCGCUUUGCCAGCACAUACUCUAAAAUUAGAACGAUACAGAGAGGAUUCACAUCGCGCCAGCGCUAGUGUAACUCGCAAAAUCGUGAAGCAUUAAUAAGAAUA